AUCAGUGAUUCAAAAGUACUGGAUGCGCAAUGCGGAUAUGAAUCGGCUGUAACGAACAUGCUGGUAGGUUUGGCAGGAGCAGAUUUUAUCCAUGAUGCCG
Molecule: regulatory RNA element, 100 nt
Organism: Dethiobacter alkaliphilus AHT 1
Lineage: Bacteria; Bacillati; Bacillota; Dethiobacteria; Dethiobacterales; Dethiobacteraceae
Rfam family: Pyrrolysine insertion sequence mttB
Source: Rfam